Molecule: non-coding RNA, 93 nt
Organism: Mycena rebaudengoi
Lineage: Eukaryota; Fungi; Basidiomycota; Agaricomycetes; Agaricales; Mycenaceae
Source: the annotation of a GenBank genome assembly
GGUUCAAUGGUGUAUUGGUGCACGCCUGCAGAAUAUAACACCCCCUUCCAGCAACUACUGCAGGAGGUGCCCGUUCGACUCGGGCUUGGACCA